GCAUAUCAAUAAGCGGAGGAAAAGAAACCAACAGGGAUUGCCCUAGUAACGGCGAGUGAAGCGGCAACAGCUCAAAUUUGAAAUCUGGCUCUUUCAGAGUCCGAGUUGUAAUUUGCAGAGGGCGCUUUGGCUUUGGCAGCGGUCCAAGUUCCUUGGAACAGGACGUCACAGAGGGUGAGAAUCCCGUACGUGGUCGCUAGCUAUUGCCGUGUAAAGCCCCUUCGACGAGUCGAGUUGUUUGGGAAUGCAGCUCUAAAUGGGAGGUAAAUUUCUUCUAAAGCUAAAUAUUGGCCAGAGACCGAUAGCGCACAAGUAGAGUGAUCGAAAGAUGAAAAGCACUUUGGAAAGAGAGUCAAACAGCACGUGAAAUUGUUGAAAGGGAAGCGCUUGCAGCCAGACUUGCUUGCAGUUGCUCAUCCGGGCUUUUGCCCGGUGCACUCUUCUGCAGGCAGGCCAGCAUCAGUUUGGGCGGUGGGAUAAAGGUCUCUGACACGUUCCUUCCUUCGGGUUGGCCAUAUAGGGGAGACGUCAUACCACCAGCCUGGACUGAGGUCCGCGCAUCUGCUAGGAUGCUGGCGUAAUGGCUGUAAGCGGCCCGUCUUGAAACACGGACCAAGGAGUCUAACAUCUAUGCGAGUGUUUGGGUGUCAAGCCCGAGCGCGUAAUGAAAGUGAACGGAGGUGGGAACCCGCAAGGGCGCACCAUCGACCGAUCCUGAAGUUUACGGAAGGAUUUGAGUAAGAGCAUGGCUGUUGGGACCCGAAAGAUGGUGAACUAUGCUUGAAUAGGGUGAAGCCAGAGGAAACUCUGGUGGAGGCUCGCAGCGGUUCUGACGUGCAAAUCGAUCGUCAAAUUUGGGGCAUAGGGGCGAAAGACUAAUCGAACUAUCUAGUAGCUGGUUCCUGCCGAG
Molecule: ribosomal RNA, 910 nt
Filed under: Curvularia lunata var. lunata
Lineage: Eukaryota; Fungi; Ascomycota; Dothideomycetes; Pleosporales; Pleosporaceae
Description: LSU rRNA
Rfam family: Eukaryotic large subunit ribosomal RNA
Source: RNAcentral